AUUGAACGCUGGCGGCGGGCCUAACACAUGCAAGUCGAGCGGAGCGGCGGACGGGUGAGUGAUGCCUAGGAAGCUGCCUGUUGGUGGGGGAUACCUUCCGGGGAGGGGCGCUAAUAACACAGACGAUCAAAGCAGCCUAGGGGGGAUUAGCUAGUUGGUGGGGUAAAGGCCUACCAAGGCGACGAUCCGAAACUGGUCUGAGAGGAUGAUCGGUCACACUGGAACUGAGACACGGCCCAGACUCCUACGGGAGGCAGCAGUGGGGAAUAUUGGACAAUGGGCGAAAGCCUGAUCCAGCCAUGCCGCGUGUGUGAAGAAGGUCUUCGGAUUGUAAAGCUCUUUAAGUUGGGAGGCGUUACCAACAGAGUAAGCACCGGCGAACUUCGUGCCAGCAGCCGCGGUAAUUC
This 407-nucleotide ribosomal RNA is filed under the name uncultured bacterium. RNAcentral describes it as "partial 16S ribosomal RNA". It matches the Rfam family "Bacterial small subunit ribosomal RNA", at positions 29 to 526 of the family's 1533-position model. The record is from RNAcentral.